AAGCUUGANCCUUNGGGGAGGCAGCAGUGGGGAAUAUUGGACAAUGGGCGAAANCCUGAUCCAGCCAUGCCGCGUGUGUGAAGAAGGCCCUCGGGUUGUAAAGCACUUUCAGUGGGGAAGAAAGCCUUGAGGCUAAUACCCUCGAGGAAGGACAUCACCCACAGAAGAAGCACCGGCUAACUCCGUGCCAGCAGCCGCGGUAAUA
Molecule: ribosomal RNA, 205 nt
Filed under: uncultured bacterium
Lineage: Bacteria
Description: partial 16S ribosomal RNA
Rfam family: Bacterial small subunit ribosomal RNA
Source: RNAcentral